Molecule: microRNA, 20 nt
Filed under: Sarcophilus harrisii (Tasmanian devil)
Lineage: Eukaryota; Metazoa; Chordata; Mammalia; Dasyuromorphia; Dasyuridae
Also listed under: 1 other name
Description: Sha-Mir-12467_3p* (star (passenger))
Source: RNAcentral
UGAACUGUGGAGAGAAAAGA